CAAGCCAGCUAAGGUUCUGAGACUAGAAACCAAUGGAUGCUACAGCGGAUGUUUAUUGUUGUGACAGUGACAGACAAGUAACAAACUGAAAGGGAAAGUGAACACCAUUUCCCCAGGCAUUUCCCGCGUCCCAAGUUCCUUGUGGUUGUCCUAGCAUCUUCUCACUGGCAAUAGACAGAACAAGACACACACGUGGGAAGUGAGUGCAGCAGAAUAGACCUGGUGUUGUUGCAGUGGAGUUGGGUGAGGUCGUGAUGGAACCCUGGAUUAAAAUCACCAACCACACCUGCGGCCCUGGUGCAGGACCUGCAACGGACGCUUGAGGAAGGAGCACUCCAGCCUCAAAACCAGUGGGAAGUGUUAUCCAAACCACCUUGUUUGGAAGAGAAUGACAUUGCUGCCUGAGCUGCCCAAAGUAAGAUGCAAGGCCAGGAGACACCCUGAUAAAGGACAUUCAUUCUUUUUCCUUCCUGGCAUUUCUAACCCAGGAGGAUUCAUCUCUCCUGCAAACAACUUUCUCCAUAAAUGACUCUAUUCUUUGAUUGAUGUGUAAAUUCAGAGCUGGAGGGGGGAGUUGCACCUUCCCUUGGAGGCUGUAUAACCAGAAGCAGAGUCACUGGCAUCCAAUGAGGCAUGACACUUGAGGUCUUGAGGAGGCCAAAUUGUACCUUGGUAGAUGUCUGUCUCCUGUAAAGUGUUUGGUCAUGAAGAUACACACAGCCGGGUGACUUUACUUUAUAUUCAGCAGAAGAAAGGGUGUUUGGGAUGAUCAACGUGAAGGCCACAGCAUGGGAAAAGCUACAAUUCAAGUCCAUAUGUUUGUCUUAAAAAGAAGAUCAAAGACUUUGGGUUCCGCAUGAAGCACAGGGAUUGGAGAAGCCAAGUGGCUCUAAAAUCACAUCUGGGAAUUUAAACUUUUAAGAACACAAAAGAAAAAUCAUGUGGGGGAUUCUUUUGAGUGGAAUAGAGAGUUCAUUCCUGAGGAGUGAUUUCUGUCUGAGGCAGGUAGAUUACUUACUUGGAGGUUAGAAGAAUAAAGUGUAGAUAGGUUUUCUAAUCUCCUUUUCAUUGAUAGCUUGCCUGUCUACACUGAUUCACCAGGGCCAAUGGAAAGGAUUAAUGAAGAACAGUGAUCCUGGUCCUUUAACAAGAACUUCUGAAUUGAGGCUGUUCUCAAAUGGCCAAGGUCAGGAACUUCCCCUCAAUUAAAACUUGGUUGCUUCUUUAAUAAUUUAGCCCUGACCUCCUUUUUUUUUCUGGACCAUCUUCUCAUACAGACUCCAAUGAAUCCACUGGCUACUCUUCUUGUGGAGAUCCCUAAGUCCCACUAGUGCAGUGCUCUUUACAAUCCAUAGAGAAGUGGGUUAUUAUUUUGCCAAGGAAAGUAAAAUUACAGACUUUUUUCUUUUAUCUUUUUUCCCUAUAUAAUGGCAUGAUAGGCAGAGCCUACCAAAGUCAUCAUAUUGGGCACCUCCUGACCAUAUUCUGAUGGGACUCUGUCAGGGACAAAAAAGAAAAAAAUGGAAGAAAUAAUGGAAGAGACACACUAAUAUGAGACAUGCCGAGACAUGCGAUGGCUCCCUUACUAGCUGCUCUUCCUGAGUAUUGUGAAACAAAAGCUUCUAGGACAACAGGCUUCACUGGCAUACUGGAGAUGUUAUCAACCUCUACCUUCAUAGUUUAGGACACUGAAGGGAGACAGAGAUGUUUUCUAAAUGUGGAUGGCGUAGGGAGUGUCAGUAGCUGCAUGAGUUCUGGUCUAGAGGGAGGGACUCUGCAAUGCUCUUGCUGCUGCCUCGGGCUUCUAUUACAAGAGUUAAGGACACCAUCUCAAGGGCACGUCAGGUCAAGUUUGCAAACAUAUUAUUGAUGCACAAAGUGCCGCCCAAAAGAGUACUUUGCUUAGUGCAGUGGUCCUCAACCUUCCUAAUGCUGCAGUCUUUAGUGCAUUUCCUCAUGUUGUGGUGACCCCCAGCCACAAAAUUAGCUUCACUGCUACUUCGUAACUGUAAUUUUGCUACCAUUAUGAAUUGUAAUGUAAAUAUUUUUGGAGCUAAGAGUUUGCCAAAGGGGUCAUGACCCACAGAUUGAGAGCCACUUGUCUAGGGGCUUGAGUUCCAUUUGAUAGGUUGCCCUUGGUAAUUCACUUGGAUGGAUGCUUGCUCUUCCAGCAGAUGGAGAGAGAAGGAAUAACACCCAACUUGGAGAUGAAGCACCCAAUGCUAUCACUAUGGAAAGCAAACAAACCUCCUUUUAACUCGAACUGUACUUCAGACACUUUAAAUGGUUAACUUUGUAGAAGGAGAGUUAGAGACAGUACCUAAUCCCAGCUUGAUGCAAUUACUUUAACAUGAAUUUAAAAUAAAAUUAAAGUUAGCAGUUUAAACUGAUGUUUGAGGGUUUUAAAAAGAUUUAGUUUCCUUUGGAACCACUGUGUCAUUUGAUCCAGUACAUCUUUACCCCAGUACCAUUACUACUAGAUUAUGCCCAUAGGUUGAGUUACAAAUGUCUAAAAAUCUUAAAAUUAUUAAGCUCAGAUUAGAGUGUUCAAAGCCUAUGGUGUUAUUUUAGUCUCCUGCCAUAUCCUCCAUUUACUAUAAACUUGUUAUAUUGGCAUUCAAAUAAAAUGUCAUAAAGCAAGUAUGUAAGGAGGUGUUUGGGGUUUGUUGCAGGCUUCUGUGAGCCAAGUUUGCAUGGCAACCAAGAUGUAUAACAGAAACACUCAAAUGGUCUUCAUAAAAAGAAAUGCUGAGCAGAUCUUAAGGAUCAAGCAACUUCGAAGCUCAGGAAGACUAUGGGAGCUGGUCAGAGUGAUAAUUGGGUGCCUGGAUGGGGACAGCAUGUGACCCAACAUGGUCUCAGAGGUUCUUCAAAUCUCCCUUUGUUGUAGCCACCAAUUGCUAAUGUGUGAGAGGCCAGGUCUCCAGGGAUGCAGCUUCAUGGAAUUUGCAGCUGUUACUCUUGGAAGCCACCAUCAACACUACCUUAACCAAACCCCUUGCAUUACAGAUGAGGACAUGGAGACCCAGAUUUCCUCACAGUCUCAGAGGCCUGCUUAUAUAGCAGAAACACACAAGUAUGCAUUUACCCAUAUUCUCUGCUUCAGUGACUUCACUUAUGUUUUCCAAUUGGAUCACAAACCCCAACUGUUUUAAGUCAGACCAGAAUGAGCAAGUGUGGAUUUAUAAGGCUUCCAUUUGGACAUUGCCUCCACAAGACACAUAGGAAACUUUUUGGUUCAUACAUCAUGGGCAACCCAGAUCAGUCAAACUACUAGAUACCUCCUUAGAAAGGACAUCUCAUGAGAUUAAGUCAACAGUGCAUCGUUUUCUCUGUGGAGAAAGUACCCAAUGAAGCUGAAUUAGCUAGUCAGUACUUACAGAAAGGGAGGUGAGCUCCCUUGAAACUCUCUGGAUUCCUGAAACCCAGAUGAAGGAUGCAAGAUCAGUUACCUUGAAUGAGGUAUGGAAUAAGUCUUACUUAGAGCAAAGUGAAGUCAUUUAACUGUAACACAUUUUUCAAUAUAUUAGUGACUACCAAAAAGGAUGUAGCCUAUUUUUUUUAACCAUUCCAAAGGUGCUUGUAGUUUCCUCUGUAAGCCCUACUAAGAGGAGGAUUCACUAAAAGUUUUGCUAAAUACCUCUGCAAGCACAAAUUGAAACGAAGAGAGGCUAGGAAACCAUUUGGCACUAUUAGAAAAUGAUGCUUCAUUACACAGAAAUAUUUACGUGUGUGCUAAGUGGAAGCACUUCGUGGGGUAAUGUCUGUCUUGUCUCUCCCUAUGCAUGUCCAUCACUUAGAAUCUCCCUUAAAAAGUUAUCUUCAACAUUGAGGAGAUCCAUCAGUCAGUUAGGGCUUCAUCAGAAAGGCAAAGCAACAAUGAAUAGUAUAGAAUCAGGGAGUUAUUCUAGAAACCAGCCUUCAUGCUAUCUUGGGAGUUGGUAUUUCAUGUUCAUAAGGUUUUGUUGUUGGAUCUAGCAGUCAGUAGGACAAAGGCAUGGUUAUAGGGGGAAACAAUGACAUGCUGGGACCCUGUCUGUUUUUUCCUGCAUCCAGAUGGUGAUGUAGGUGACGUGGGAUAUGGUGUCAGUUUUCCAUAGAGGUUCCCAGGUAUCUAAUGUAAGAUUUAGAAAAAUCAGUGAAGGGGACACAUUGGGAGAUAAAGGUGCUAUGGGUCCACCCAUUGCCCCAAUAACAAAGCAAGCCAGUGCAGCAUCAUCAUCAUAGGUUAGUCAUACCAGAAGCUGAACCAUAGAUCGCUCACACAUGUAAACAGGCUACCUCGACUCAUUGCUGCCCUCAGUUCUGAGCAACUGUCUCUUAUGCCAAGUCUCUUUACAGAACUAUUCAGACAAAGACAUUCUGGAAAGUGUAGUUUAACUCUUUGUAGCCAGCUAGCCUGUCACAAAUAAAAUCACUAAGGUCACCCCCAAAUUCUUAAUGAGAGAGUUGCCAAACAUGUGACCUGCAAGAAGUAUAUGCCUUUUUAAAAAUUAUUUUGAUUUCAUGUAAACAGUCUAUCACUGAAGACUUAGCUUGCACUCUAAUGAUUAUUAUGACUAAGAAGUUUCUUACACAUUAACCAGCCAUUUGGAAAGCUUCCUUUAUGGAAUUCCUAUUCAGCUUUCAAAACCAGUUUUUCCUAAUUGGCUAUAUUUCUCUUACAUGGUAUGAGGUCUUUAUUACACGCAUACUUUGGAUAUGAGUCCUCUUUCAGAUACAUUUGUUGAAAAUAUGUUCUCCCCUGACAUGGCUUGCUCUUGGGAGUUAUUAAUGGCAUCUUUCAAUAAAUAGUUCCUAACUA
This is a non-coding RNA of Cricetulus griseus (Chinese hamster), 4804 nucleotides long. Lineage: Eukaryota; Metazoa; Chordata; Mammalia; Rodentia; Cricetidae. The record is from RefSeq and is a predicted model, not a curated record.